This is a long non-coding RNA of Malania oleifera, 1252 nucleotides long. RefSeq lists it as uncharacterized. The transcript is spliced from 3 exons. NCBI's taxonomy places the organism in Eukaryota, Viridiplantae, Streptophyta, Magnoliopsida, Santalales, Ximeniaceae. The record is from RefSeq and is a predicted model, not a curated record.
AUGGAAAGACAAGAUGAGGGUGUUGUCAGUUGCGCAACAUACAUUUCCCUGGUAUAGGUUUGAGUUUGACAUGUACCAAAAGCAUAAGUUCAUAUGGAGGUCGUACACCGAUGAGGUUGUAGCCAACUUACCCGCCAAUUAUGACGUCGGGAGUGACUUGUGGGUAGCCCAAGUGCCACUCAUAUGCUUUCAUAUUGUCAAGUGGUAUAUCCCUGAUUGAGUUCUGUGAUAGUUUGGCUAUUGUCAGGGCAUUCCCAACCCCUUCUCAACAUCGGGGGUACAUAUACAUGGCACAACCUCCAUACAAUUGAUGGACGCGUUCGAGGGGUGCCCGACUGGACGACCUUCCAUGGUAUGUGGAUGUAUGGGAUCAUCAGGGAGAGUAUAUCAUCUCAGUGGAGUGGGAGGAGUCCUUUGCAUCCGAAUGACCCAUACUUGAGGUGGUAUAGGUCCAUCACACGAUGCUUCGUGGAUAGGACUGCUGUUGUAAAUAUUAGCCUCUACAGGGAUUGGAGAGAGCUGGAUUGAUGAUUGUCCACGAGGACGGAUGAUGGACCCAUAUACAUCGACCUGACCUACCUGCAUGAGUAGGUCAAGGAGCUUCAAUACGAGGAGGGCAUGCUCCGCGUGCAUCUAGUGGUUCAUGAAGCCGCUCUAAUGAGCCACCUAUUGUACAUAGUGAGUACAUGUUUAGCUCGUCAGCACCUUAUGCAUGUUCGGCGGGAGCUAAUAUUGCGGAGCCAUCCAAUAGUAGGCUGUACAAUGUAGAUGUUCCUUCAUCCUCCAGGCCUUCAGGUUUUAGUACCUAGUUCGACUCUGCUGCCACCUCAUCCAUGUCAUUCCUGUUGGACGACAGUGUAGAUGCUGAGGACGUGGAUGCACCAACCUUGCCACCUCAUUUUCAUCCAGGAUCAUUAUAUGAGUCAUCUCCCCAUCUGCUUCAUAUGGAUGAUGAUGAUGCAGUACCUCAGGGCGAAGAUGAUAAACAUACAAGACGACGAUGGGGUAGGAGACCGGAUGGAGAUGACCACGAAAGAGAGGGCGGAAGCAAACAACAACCAGCCUGAGACUAGAGAUGACCUCCUUGUGGCACUUAAGUAGGCAUUUUUUGUAUAUGUACUUGACCCCUAUAUUGUGUUGUACAAUAGUUUGAUUCUUUUGAUUUCAUUUGUAUAGCAUCAAUUAUUUUAAUUUCAUUUGUAUAGCCUCAUUGCAUUAUUUCUAUAUAAUUUGGGAUGUUUAUUUGUUGUUC